CUGGAUAAAGAAAAAGUAGAUAAUUAAGUAAAUCAUUGAAUAAAUAAAUAAACAGGCUUGUCAGUGGUAGGUGCUCCAGAGUGGGGUAAGAUGACAAAAACAUCUUCUUCCCUGGGCCUUUUUAUGUCUGGAACAGCUGAGCACAACCACUGAUUUAUUCCUCGAGAAGUGUGACAUGAAUUGUGAUGCAGGCCUAGGACUCUGAGACAGUUAACAAGAGGCUCAGAGAGAGAUUGGCUGACCCACAGCUACUGCCCUGAGACUGAGUAGUGUAGUGGGGAGGCCAAUAGAGGGAGAUAAAUGAAGUGCCAUCUAAUUAAGAAACAGGGCAAUGGCUCAUCCUAGGGCUGAGAAGGAAAGAGAGGCUGCUUCUACCAGGUUCUCCAUCCUGCAACACAAGGUAUGUCCGGCUUUGGUAUCAGGAUGCUGCUGGCCUCAUCAAAUGAGUUAGGGAGGAUUCCCUCUUUUUCUAUUGAUUGGAAUAGUUUCAGAAGGAAUGGUACCUGCUCCUCUUUAUACCUCUGGUAGAAUUCGGCUGUGAAUCCGUCUGGUCCUGGACUUUUUUUGUCUAGGACAGCAGUUGGUUGACAUUUAAAGGGCUACUGUCCCAGAAGGCUGCUUGCCUGGGCCCAUGGCACUGCCAGAAAUCACAAGACUAAGCUGAAAAAGCACAAAGAAGUUUCCUUUCAUUCCAGGAACCUCUUGGCUUGAAUAUGAAAUAGCCUCUUAGUGACACUACACUGCAAUUUCAAAUAAUAGGUUUUUUAUCACCUCUUUGAGAAAUAUCACCUUGGGUUCAUCCCAGAAAAAUAAUACAAAGUAGAAUUUUUUCAAACGUAAUCCCCUUGGGUUCCUCUCAGAAAAAAAUAGAAAGUAGAAUUCUUUCAAACUUAAUCCCCUCUUUGUAUUUGUCUCCUCUGCAUCUCUCCAAAGUAGAUGGGUAGGAGAGGGAAACAGUGCUGUAGAAAAUGGGACAAGAACACACCCUAAUAAAACAAGAAAACAUGGUUUGCCAGAGGUCUCCUUUCCCAGGCUCAAGCCUCAAGUUUCUAAUUGUCCCUACAUUACUCCCACAAAUGCCUUUCUGGGAGAGUCUUGUAUGCUAGACCUCUGCCAUCUUCCCAUCCUUUCUCCCUUCCUCCUAACCUUCACUCUUGAGAAAGACUCAUCCUGGCUUCUGUGUCCAUAGAACCUUGAAGCAGCUUUCUGGUGAGGAGGUGAGCUACUUCCUGCAAAACUACUAGUAGCUGCUAUUGAUUAAUGUAUUCUUCCAACCAGGUAAUGUAUUCCUGUUCCAACAGAAGUCUUCUUGAGACAUAUCUGAAAGUGACAUAGUAACCAGAAGGAAGAUUUUUGGAGGGUUCUUGAACUAGCUCUACAUAGGAAACUGCCAACAAUAACUUCCUGUGGCAUUUGUUAAGUUGUGAUUCUGCCCCUCACUGCUUGACUUAGUCCUCUUGACAAGGGCCAGGAGGAGAAAACAGGUCUCAAAGAACAGUGUACAUCAAAGCCUGGCUUUCCAGCAAUGCCUGACCCUGCCAAAGAAGGCAGGGAAGCCCCCACAGAGCCUCUUAGAAACCUCAACUCCCUCAGCCUCUUGUCCCAGAGCAUCACUGGCAGGUAUAGACCAAGCAUAUCCACAUCCACACGUACGUCUUUUUUGCUUUUAUUCAUUUUAGUUUAUAACAACUAUUUAUUUAGGACGUGGUUCUGUGAGCUGUUAAAUUGUUCUAUUGUCAGAUCAUAGCUGUAUACAUUUGUGGGGUGUCAAAACGAUGUUUUAACAUAUACAUACAAUCAGUGUGAUUAAAUCAAGCUAAUUAACACAUCCAUCACCUUGCUUACCUAUCUUUUUUAUGGUGAGACAUUUGAAAUUUACUCUCUUAGUUGUUUUGAAAUAUACAAUGCAGUAUUAUUGACUAUAGUCACCCUGGUAUACAAUAUAUCUCAAAAUCUAUCCCUACUGUCUCUCUGAAACUUUGUACCCUUUGAUUAACAACUCCCAUUCCCCUUUCAAUCUGAAACAUUGUACCCUUUCAUCAGCAACUCCUCAUUCCCUCCCUCCCAGCCCACUCUUAGCCUCUUUCUACUCUCUAUUUCUAUGAGUUCAACUUUGUUAGAUUUUUACAUGUAAGUGAGAUCAUGCAGCAUUUGUCUUUCUGUGCCUGGUUUAUUUUACUUAGCAUAAUGUCCUUCAGAUUCAUCCGUGUUGAUGCAAGUGACAGGAUUUCUCCCUUUUUAAGGCUGAAUAAUUUUCUAUUGUGUAUGUUUCACAUUUCCUUUAUACACUCAUCCAUUGAUGGAUACCUAAGUUGUUUCAU
Molecule: long non-coding RNA, 2321 nt
Filed under: Homo sapiens (human)
Lineage: Eukaryota; Metazoa; Chordata; Mammalia; Primates; Hominidae
Description: non-protein coding lnc-SMAD5-4:2
Source: RNAcentral